GUGUCAGCAGCCGCGGUAAUAGGGGCAGCUCUUGUGAUGACCGAUUUUAUUGGGCCUAAAGGGUCCGUAGCUGGCCGCGCAAGUCUGUCGGGAAAACCAGCCGCUUAACGGGUGGGCGUCCGGCGGAAACUGUGCGGCUUGGGAGAGGAAGGCUCGAGGCCUACGUUCGGGGUACGAGUGAAAUCCCGUAAUCCAGGACGGACCGCCGAUGGCGAAAGCACGUCGCGAGGACGGAUCCGACAGUGAGGGACGAAAGCCAGGGUCUCGAACCGGAUUAGAAACCCCCGUAGUCC
This 293-nucleotide ribosomal RNA is filed under the name uncultured prokaryote. Its description in RNAcentral is "partial 16S ribosomal RNA". It matches the Rfam family "Archaeal small subunit ribosomal RNA", at positions 455 to 747 of the family's 1478-position model. The record is from RNAcentral.